RNAcentral lists this ribosomal RNA (253 nucleotides) under uncultured bacterium. RNAcentral describes it as "partial 16S ribosomal RNA". It matches the Rfam family "Bacterial small subunit ribosomal RNA", at positions 524 to 776 of the family's 1533-position model. The record is from RNAcentral.
UACAGAGACUGCAAGCGUUAUUCGGAUUCACUGGGCGUAAAGGGUGCGCAGGCGGCCAAGUGUGUGAGGCGUGAAAGCCCGGGGCUUAACCCCGGAAUUGCACCUCAAACUACAUGGCUAGAGCAUUGGAGAGGGUAGCAGAAUUCAUGGUGUAGCAGUGAAAUACGUAGAUAUCGAGAGGAACACCUGCGGCGAAGGCGGGUUGCUGGGCCGACACUGACGCUGAUGCGCGAAAGCCAGGGGAGCGAACGGG